RNAcentral lists this long non-coding RNA (3209 nucleotides) under Homo sapiens (human). RNAcentral describes it as "HSALNT0331109". Lineage: Eukaryota; Metazoa; Chordata; Mammalia; Primates; Hominidae. The record is from RNAcentral.
AGCAAUCGGAUAGGCAUUUGCUUCAGGUGAGCAGAGGGAUGACUUUCUGUCCCACAUCUGUGAAGAUCAGCUGUUGGUUUACAUUGCCAGGGUGAAAUUCAACAGAACUAAUUUAGGGUGAAGAUCUUGAGGCCCACAAGGAAUUUCCUUGUGGGAAAAUUGUGAGGAAGAGCAAUCACUGCACCCAGCCACCUCUAUAUACAUGUACACAAAGCCACACAGUUUACACAGUCACAGGUAUUUAAGUACACACUAUUCACACACAAAUACAUAUAUAGACACACAUGUACAGUCCGUCCAAAAUAUAUGUACAUAAAAGCACACUAUUACACCUUCAUAUGUGCACACACACACACACCCAGACUCACUUCAUACACACAUAGAUACAACAGCCACAGCUCCCCAUCACCUACACACACACACACACACCUGGACACCCAGCUCUAAUAUAAUCAGAUAGAGAUAUGCAUGCAGACAAAUUUGCCUGUAUAGUCAAACACAUAGGCAAAUAGAGAACGAGACACCACAUGAACAAAGGCAAACCUACACACAAAGACACAGAGCACACUUACGCAUAUAUCUAUAGACCCACCAUGGCACAUAUGGGUAAGUGCACACAGGCAAACUCACACACACGAGCAUGCACAGGCAGAGAACACAAAUGUACACUCCCAGGUGUCAUAAAGAACAGCCCAGCUUCGGCUUGGGAACGUCACAUCAGACAAUAGGAACGGCUGCACCGCGCGUUUCCUCGGCUGCCAGCUUCCCAGCCACAGAGGAUGCCUCACCUGCUAUGUCAGCUCCCCUCUGCCCCACCUCACAAGAAGCUCAGAAGCUGAGGAGUCACAGAGAGACCUCCCUACUGUGUCAGAGCAUUUUAGGACCCAAAGGGACCUAAGAGAGUGCUCAGACAGCUGGCUGCGUUAGGAGCUACCUGUGGCUGCUGAAGAAGAGUUUGCGUCAAUUUAAAGAAAGAGCCAUUCAAGGAAUGAGGACCAUGACCUUGGCUGCACUGACCAGCUGGGCUCUGGAGACUCAGUGAGGCUGCCCAGCCACCAACAGGCCCUGCACAAUAGAUCCACGGACCCAGCAGUCAGAGGUGACCCUAGGGGUCACUGGCCCGUGGCUAAGGAGGAGGAGCACAGACCUGCGACCCCCUUUUCCCAUGGACCACCCAGGGAGGCUGAGCGGGGACUCUGAGCUCAGAUGGACAACCUCAGAGCCACUGGGAAUUUGCCUGAGGCCACUGGGGCCAGGGUUAAAUCCAUAUGAAGCAGCGCGGGCUGUGCACCUGCCAUUUUCUAGGCUCUGUCACAUGCAUCUUUCUGCCAAAUCUCAUGGUGAUCCUUCAAGAAUAGUACUAUUAAUCUCCCCAUUGACAGAGGGAGAAAGGGAGGCUCAGAGACGUUAAGUGUCUCACCAAAGCUCACACAGCUUCCAAGCAAUAGAACUUUACUCAGUACUCAGUACAGGUUAACAUUUAUUCAUUCACUCGAUAACCAUUUGCAGCACAGCUACCAUAUGCCAGGCAGUGUUCUAGGCACUUAGAAUACAUAGAUGAGCAAAACAGGCAAAACCUUUCCCUCAGGGCGUUACCAUUUGAGUGCCACCAUGCCACGGCUGGUACAGUUGCUAUUGAGACAAACAAAAUAAGACCCAGUUUUUGCCUUUGGGGAGUAGGUAGUCUAGUGGAGGAGGCACAUACACAGAAAAUUCCAAAGUACUGUGGAAAUCUCAGGGUACUUUGAUAGGGAUUACCAGAGGAGCUGUGAGAAUAAAGGCUGGAUAUCAGGGAAGGCUUCCUGGAAGAGGUGUUGCCUGAAAUGAGCCUGGAAGGAUCACUUAGGGACAGAAAAGUCAUUCCGUGUAGAAUUCAUGGUGAGUGACAGAGCCUAAACCCAGUCUCUUUUGCAUGCUGAGCACUGAGACCCAGACGCUGGUGCUCAGACCUGAUGACUUAUUUUCCCAGGUACAGCUUGAGCAAAGACACAGAAGCAGAAGGCAGGUUUUUGGUUCCAUGAACUCUACAUCUGGCUACAUACAAAUGGUGAAGAGGAACAGGGAGAAACAUGGUUGAAAAGAACAGGCUUGGACUUCAGGAAGCAGUAAAAUGAGCGAAUGCCAUUUAUGGUUACAAAGAUAACUCAGCUGGGGGCCAAACAGAGACUGAAAUGGAGUGGGUGAGGAUGGAGGCCGGGAGGAGAUGGCUGCAGAGGUCCCAGCAAUGACAGUGGUUGUGGGAAGGGGCAACCCCAAGUCUUGUGCUCCCAACUGCAAAUCCAGUGCUUUUUCUAAAAAAAUAUUUAAAUAAUUUAUUUAUUUUUGAGAUGGAGUCUCGCUCUGUCACCCAGGCUGGAGUGCAGUGACACAAUGUCGGCUCGUGCAACCUCUGCCCCCCGGGUUCAAGCGAUUCUCCUGCCUCAGCCUCCCAAGUAGCUGGGAUUACAGACGCACGCCUCCACGCCUGGCUAAUUUUUUAUAUUUUUGGUAGAGAUGGGGUUUCACCAUGUUGCCCAGGCUGGUCUCGAACUCCUGACUUCAAGUGAUCCACCCACCUCGGCCUCCCAAAGUACUAGGAUGACAGGCGUGAGCCACUGUGCCCAGCCUUAUUUUUUUUUUUAAUUUAUAUUUUCAGAGGCAAACGAUCCUUGCUCAUUAAAAAAAGGAAAUAGAAAUUCAAAACAAAAAUGCCUGUAUCUGAUGGGAAAGAUGAGCCCAAUGUUCUUUUUUAAAAAACCUUUAUUAUGAAAUAUUUCAACUGAACAUAUGCAGUUUAUAUUGUUAUAAAGCAUAACAAGCAAUCAAACAGCUGUGAACCCACCACUCCAUGUCAGAACUAGAACUUCCCAAAGCAGUCGGAGCUGAGGUGAGAUCCACUCUGAUGCCCUUCCCCAACUCCACGCCACCCCCCAAGACCUGACCACCUGAUUACUCUGGGAUUUCAUUUUUGUCUCGUUCCCUUGCUUUGCUUUAUGUCUUUACCAAAUGUGAAUGUGUGCCUAAACAAUACAGUGCUCGAUUUGCUUGUGUUUAAGCUUUAUUACAAAUAUAACUUUGAUCCUUCUGCUACUUGCAAUUCUAAAUUUGAUAUUACGAGUCUCAGCCUCAUCGGCGUUGAUGCGUGUGACCGACAUUGAUUCACUCUCACCAGUACGUGGUGUGUUCCGUUGCAUGCAUGCACCCCUGCUGGGGUAUCCAUUCUCCUGUUG